RNAcentral lists this ribosomal RNA (253 nucleotides) under uncultured bacterium. RNAcentral describes it as "partial 16S ribosomal RNA". It matches the Rfam family "Bacterial small subunit ribosomal RNA", at positions 524 to 776 of the family's 1533-position model. The record is from RNAcentral.
UACGAAGGGGGCUAGCGUUGCUCGGAAUCACUGGGCGUAAAGGGUGCGUAGGCGGGCCUUUAAGUCAGGGUUGAAAUCCUGGAGCUCAACUCCAGAACUGCCUUUGAUACUGAAGAUCUUGAGUCCGGGAGAGGUGAGUGGAACUGCGAGUGUAGAGGUGAAAUUCGUAGAUAUUCGCAAGAACACCAGUGGCGAAGGCGGCUCACUGGCCCGGUACUGACGCUGAGGUGCGAAAGCGUGGGGAGCAAACAGG